Long non-coding RNA from Vitis riparia (riverbank grape), 620 nucleotides. RefSeq lists it as uncharacterized. The transcript is spliced from 4 exons. Lineage: Eukaryota; Viridiplantae; Streptophyta; Magnoliopsida; Vitales; Vitaceae. The record is from RefSeq and is a predicted model, not a curated record.
GUGGCAUGUUCACAAUCAAGUACAUGGAACAUUGGAACGGGGCAACACUAGCACAUUCAAUCGCAAAGGACAAGAUGCAUCUUUAUCAAUUGAGGCUGGUCGUUACUUUGGUUACUAAUGCGGCAAACAAUGCUAGAGAUAAGGUCUUGAAGGCAUGUCGAAUUUGAUUAAUAGAGGCCAACUUGGACAGACAAGGUCAAUGAUGGAAUCGUACUUGCAUGAGAAUGGGGCUGGUGGUGCCGGCAGUGCAUAAUCAGAAGAAUCUGGAGGUGGUUCGUAAACUAGGAAAGCAUUAAGAAAAGAAGAACAAGAAAAUACCAAGGUUUUCCUCAUUAAUGCGAUCUCACUUGCACAUGCCAGUUGCGACAAUUGGAAAACAAGAUGGUUGACAACCAUAAAGACAUGAGCAAUGUUACAAUUCGGAAUCGUGGCUGCUGGAGAAAGGGAUGUGAUCAUAAGACAUUCUCAUCAUGACUCAGACUUUAUAAUAUAACUGUUCCUAGUUUGAUUUUUGUUUGUAAAUGUAGGCAUGCCCAAUACCGAAGCCCUCUAAAAACUAUAUAGAUACAUCAUAAUUGGUUUUUUGGUUUACCAUUUUUACUUUGGGAACCCAUUGCAUA